RNAcentral lists this unclassified non-coding RNA (323 nucleotides) under uncultured fungus. RNAcentral's name for it is "sequence contains ITS2". The stretch from base 1 to 52 matches the Rfam family "5.8S ribosomal RNA", at positions 103 to 154 of the family's 154-position model. The record is from RNAcentral. Lineage: Eukaryota; Fungi.
AACGCACCUUGCGCUCUUUGGUAUUCCGAGGAGCAUGCCUGUUUGAGUGUCAUGAAAUUCUCAACCUUUCUCUGGCUUGCUGUUAUAAGCUGGGUCCAGGGGGGGGGGUGUUUGGAUUAUGGAAGUUUGCUGGCUUGUCCAGCUCUUCUCAAAUGCAUUAGCGAGGUCAUAUACUGAUUAUAUCUCUUGGUAAUGAUAAUUAUCUAUACCAUUGAGAAUCAGAUUCCUGUACAGGGAAGACUCUGCUUCUAACAGUCUCCAUGUUGGGACAUACAUGACCCAUUUUUGACCUCAAAUCAGGUAGGACUACCCGCUGAACUUAA